RNAcentral lists this ribosomal RNA (112 nucleotides) under Musa acuminata subsp. malaccensis (wild Malaysian banana). The record is from RNAcentral. Lineage: Eukaryota; Viridiplantae; Streptophyta; Magnoliopsida; Zingiberales; Musaceae.
UUUGGCAAGCUCCUGGACUUCUCGGUUGGUUCCGAACUCCGAAGUUAAGCGUGCUUGGGCGAGAGUAGUACUAGGAUGGGUGACCCCCUGGGAAGUCCUCGUGUUGCACUCC